This 337-nucleotide ribosomal RNA is filed under the name uncultured Anaerovorax sp. Its description in RNAcentral is "bacterial SSU rRNA". It matches the Rfam family "Bacterial small subunit ribosomal RNA", at positions 354 to 709 of the family's 1533-position model. The record is from RNAcentral. Lineage: Bacteria; Bacillati; Bacillota; Clostridia; Peptostreptococcales; Anaerovoracaceae.
UGGGGGAAUAUUGCACAAUGGGGGAAACCCUGAUGCAGCAACGCCGCGUGAAGGAUGAGGGCCUUUUGGGUCGUAAACUUCUGUCCUUGGGGAAGAUAAUGACGGUACCCUUGGAGGAAGCCCCGGCUAACUACGUGCCAGCAGCCGCGGUAAUACGUAGGGGCAAGCGUUAUCCGGAAUUAUUGGGCGUAAAGAGUGCGUAGGCGGUUUUUUAAGCGCGGGGUGAAAGGCAAUGGCUUAACCAUUGUUAGCCCUGCGAACUGGGAGACUUGAGUGCAGGAGAGGAAAGCGGAAUUCCUAGUGUAGCGGUGAAAUGCGUAGAUAUUAGGAGGAACAC